RNAcentral lists this ribosomal RNA (407 nucleotides) under Polaruschakov sp. 655-3-5 PB. Its description in RNAcentral is "partial 16S ribosomal RNA". It matches the Rfam family "Bacterial large subunit ribosomal RNA", at positions 1959 to 2597 of the family's 2925-position model. Lineage: Eukaryota; Metazoa; Annelida; Polychaeta; Phyllodocida; Polynoidae. The record is from RNAcentral.
GCAUAAUCAUUUGCCUUUUAAUUAAAGGCUAGCAUGAAAGGAUUAACGAAAAUCUUUCUUUAUUUAUUUUAUAUUUAAAACUUAACUUUCAGGUGAAGAUGCCUGAAUUAACUUGAAAGACAAGAAGCCCCUAUAGAGUUUUAGUACUAACCACCCCUUCCCCUUUUUAUAAAUUACUUUAAUUGGGGCAAUUAAGGAUUGUAAUAUACAUCCUAAAAAUUCUCAGAACUUAAUUCGCUAUUAUAAAUCUUUCAAAUAAAAAUUUAAAACAAACUACCUUAGGGAUAACAGGCUUAUCUUCCUUGAGAGUCCACAUUAACAGGAAGGUUUGGCACCUCGAUGUUGGCUUAGAGUAACCUAAUAAAGCAAAAAUUAUUCCGGUUAGUUUGUUCAACUAUUAAUUCUCU